CCCCUAGAUGUUCUGGGCCGCACGCGCGCUACACUGAACAGUUCAACAAGUCUUAACCUUGGCCGAUAGGUCUGGGUAAUCUUUGAACGCUGUUCGUGAUUGGGAUAGACCUUUGCAAUUAUGGGUCUUCAACGAGGAAUUCCUAGUAAACGCAAGUCAUCAGCUCGCAUUGAUUACGUCCCUGCCCUUUGUACACACCGCCCGUCGCACCUACCGAUUGAAUGGUCCGGUGAAAUCUCGGGACGGCGGCUUGGUCGCUUGCGUCCGACUGCUGAAACUUGAUUAAACCAUAUCAUUUAGAGGAAGGUGAAGUCGUAACA
RNAcentral lists this ribosomal RNA (320 nucleotides) under uncultured eukaryote. RNAcentral describes it as "partial 18S ribosomal RNA". It matches the Rfam family "Eukaryotic small subunit ribosomal RNA", at positions 1470 to 1796 of the family's 1831-position model. The record is from RNAcentral.